GAUUAACGCUGGCGGCGUGCAUAACACAUGCAAGUCGAACGAUGAAACUUAGUCGACUUCUUCGGAAAGACACUAAGCGGAUUAGUGGCGAACGGGUGAGUAACGCGUGAGUAACCUGCCUUACACAAGGGGAUAGCCUUUGGAAACGAAGAAUAAUACCCUAUAAAACUAUACAAGCACAUGCUAGAAUGGUCAAAGUGCUAGCGGUGUAAGAUGGACUUGCGUCUGAUUAGCUAGUUGGUGAGAUAAAAGCUCACCAAGGCAACGAUCAGUAGCCGGCUUGAGAGAGUGUACGGCCACAUUGGGACUGAGACACGGCCCAGACUCCUACGGGAGGCAGCAGUGGGGAAUUUUGCACAAUGGGGGAAACCCUGAUGCAGCGACGCCGCGUGAUUUAGAAGGCCUUCGGGUUGUAAAAAUCUUUUGUAUAGGAAGAAAAUGACAGUACUAUACGAAUAAGGUCCGGCUAAUUACGUG
This 477-nucleotide ribosomal RNA is filed under the name uncultured bacterium. RNAcentral describes it as "partial 16S ribosomal RNA". It matches the Rfam family "Bacterial small subunit ribosomal RNA", at positions 28 to 507 of the family's 1533-position model. The record is from RNAcentral.